GAGUGUCUCUGCCCGGCCGCCCAUCGUCUGAGAUGUGGGGAGCGCCUCUGCCCCGCCGCCCCGUCUGGGAUGUGAGGAGCGCCUCUGCCCUGCCGUGACCCCGUCUGGGAGCUAAAAUUCAAGUAAUGGACUAUUUGGAUGAUAGCGUGCCCGGAAUUGGUUCCUUCCGAUAUUCUUGGUCUCGCUGACUUUAACAAUGAAGCCUCAGACCAUUGCGCACAGUCCAGUGUUAAGACAGGGCAUGAGGACCAGCUCCACUGGAAACACCAGCCAGCGUCUUAACCGGGGAGGAAGGAAGGUGUGUGCUGGGCAAGUGGGGCAUGUGACAAAGUGGAACUGAAGUGGCCGUCGCUUGCCUUUAGGCCAGCAGGUUCCUCAGCAGCCUUUGCUCAUAGGCUGGCUUAACUAUGAUCCUGCUGUGGGAAGAUAAAAAAACUGACCGAAGGAGAUAGGCUGAGUAAUGGCUCCCUCAAGAUGUCCAUAUUUCAUCCCUGGAACCUGUGAAUACAUUUCUUUAUGUGGCAAAAGGGACUUUGUGGCUGUGAUUAAACUAAGAACCUUGAAAUGAGGAGAUUCUCCGGGAUCGUCCAGAUGCAUCAAAUGUAACAAGAAGGAGUCAGAGUCAGGCUGGAAGCCGCUAUGCUGCUGGCUUUGAAGG
This 658-nucleotide long non-coding RNA is filed under the name Homo sapiens (human). Its description in RNAcentral is "novel transcript". Lineage: Eukaryota; Metazoa; Chordata; Mammalia; Primates; Hominidae. The record is from RNAcentral.